UUGCUCUUCAACGAGGAAUCCCUAGUAAGCGCAAGUCAUCAGCUUGCGUUGAUUACGUCCCUGCCCUUUGUACACACCGCCCGUCGCUACUACCGAUUGAAUGGCUCAGUGAGGCGUCCGGACUGGCCCAGAGAGGUGGGCAACUACCACUCAGGGCCGGAAAGCUCUCCAAACUCGGUCAUUUAGAGGAAGUAAAAGUCGUAACAAGGUCUCCGUUGGUGAACCAGCGGAGGGAUCAUUACCGAGUUUACAACUCCCAAACCCCUGUGAACAUACCUAUACGUUGCCUCGGCGGAUCAGCCCGCGCCCUGUAAAAAGGGACGGCCCGCCCGAGGACCCUAAACUCUGUUUUUAGUGGAACUUCUGAGUAAAACAAACAAAUAAAUCAAAACUUUCAACAACGGAUCUCUUGGUUCUGGCAUCGAUGAAGAACGCAGCGAAAUGCGAUAAGUAAUGUGAAUUGCAGAAUUCAGUGAAUCAUCGAAUCUUUGAACGCACAUUGCGCCCCCUGGUAUUCCGGGGGGCAUGCCUGUUCGAGCGUCAUUUCACCACUCAAGCCUCGCUUGGUAUUGGGCAUCGCGGUCCGCCGCGUGCCUCAAAUCGACCGGCUGGGUCUUCUGUCCCCUAAGCGUUGUGGAAACUAUUCGCUAAAGGGUGUUCGGGAGGCUACGCCGUAAAACAACCCCAUUUCUAAGGUUGACCUCGGAUCAGGUAGGGAUACCCGCUGAACUUAAGCAUAUCAAUAAGCGGAGGA
This 754-nucleotide ribosomal RNA is filed under the name uncultured fungus. Its description in RNAcentral is "eukaryotic LSU rRNA". The stretch from base 1 to 241 matches the Rfam family "Eukaryotic small subunit ribosomal RNA", at positions 1593 to 1831 of the family's 1831-position model. The record is from RNAcentral. Lineage: Eukaryota; Fungi.